UACGUAGGGUGCGAGCGUUGUCCGGAAUUACUGGGCGUAAAGAGCUCGUAGGUGGUUUGUCGCGUUGUUCGUGAAAUCUCACGGCUUAACUGUGAGCGUGCGGGCGAUACGGGCAGACUAGAGUACUGCAGGGGAGACUGGAAUUCCUGGUGUAGCGGUGGAAUGCGCAGAUAUCAGGAGGAACACCGGUGGCGAAGGCGGCUUCCUGGACACUAACUGACGCUGAGACGCGAAAGCGUGGGGAGCAAACAGG
Molecule: ribosomal RNA, 253 nt
Filed under: uncultured bacterium
Lineage: Bacteria
Description: partial 16S ribosomal RNA
Rfam family: Bacterial small subunit ribosomal RNA
Source: RNAcentral